RNAcentral lists this transfer RNA (67 nucleotides) under Coscineuta sp. OR249. Its description in RNAcentral is "tRNA-Thr". It matches the Rfam family "tRNA". Rfam says of the family: Transfer RNA (tRNA) molecules are approximately 80 nucleotides in length. Their secondary structure includes four short double-helical elements and three loops (D, anti-codon, and T loops). Further hydrogen bonds mediate the characteristic L-shaped molecular structure. tRNAs have two regions of fundamental functional importance: the anti-codon, which is responsible for specific mRNA codon recognition, and the 3' end, to which the tRNAs corresponding amino acid is attached (by aminoacyl-tRNA synthetases). tRNAs cope with the degeneracy of the genetic code in two manners: having more than one tRNA (with a specific anti-codon) for a particular amino acid; and 'wobble' base-pairing, i.e. permitting non-standard base-pairing at the 3rd anti-codon position. Lineage: Eukaryota; Metazoa; Arthropoda; Insecta; Orthoptera; Acrididae. The record is from RNAcentral.
GUUUUAAUAGUUUAAUAAAAACAUUGGUCUUGUAAACCAAAGUUAAGAAGCCCCCACUUUUAAAACU